UGCGCAGGCGGCGUUAUAAGUCAGAGGUGAAAGGCCACCGCUUAACGGUGGAACUGCCUUUGAUACUGUAGUGCUUGAAUAAGGUUGAGGUUAGCGGAAUGUGACAUGUAGCGGUGAAAUGCAUAGAUAUGUCAUAGAACACCAAUUGCGAAGGCAGCUGGCUAGACCUUUAUUGACGCUGAGGCACGAAAGCGUGGGGAGCGAACAGGAUUAGAUACCCUGGUAGUCC
RNAcentral lists this ribosomal RNA (229 nucleotides) under uncultured bacterium. Its description in RNAcentral is "partial 16S ribosomal RNA". It matches the Rfam family "Bacterial small subunit ribosomal RNA", at positions 568 to 796 of the family's 1533-position model. The record is from RNAcentral.